This 759-nucleotide ribosomal RNA is filed under the name uncultured Actinomycetes bacterium. RNAcentral describes it as "bacterial SSU rRNA". It matches the Rfam family "Bacterial small subunit ribosomal RNA", at positions 97 to 870 of the family's 1533-position model. The record is from RNAcentral. Lineage: Bacteria; Bacillati; Actinomycetota; Actinomycetes.
GGCGAACGGGUGAGUAACGCGUGAGCAAUCUACCUUAGUUACAGGGAUAGCCCGAGGAAACUCGGAUUAAUACCUGAUAUUCUUUAUUUCUCGCAUGAGAAUAAAAGGAAAGGUCAGCCGAACUAAGAUGAGCUCGCGUUCUAUCAGCUAGUUGGUGAGGUAAAAGCUCACCAAGGCUACGACGGAUAGCUGGUCUGAGAGGACGAUCAGCCACACUGGGACUGAGACACGGCCCAGACUCCUACGGGAGGCUGCAGCAGGGAAUAUUGUGCAAUGAACGAAAGUUUGACACAGCGACACCGCGUGUGGGAUGACGGAUCUAGGUUUGUAAACCACUUUCAGGAGGGAAGAAAAUGACGGUACCUCCAUAAGAAGCCCCGGCCAACUACGUGCCAGCAGCCGCGGUAAUACGUAGGGGGCGAGCGUUGUCCGGAUUUAUUGGGCGUAAAGAGCUCGUAGGCGGUUCAACAAGUCGGUCGUGAAAGUUCAGGGCUCAACCCUGAAAUGUCGAUCGAUACUGUUGUGACUAGGAUACGGUAGAGGUGAGUGGAAUUCCGAGUGUAGCGGUGAAAUGCGUAGAUAUUCGGAGGAACACCAAUUGCGAAGGCAGCUCACUGGGCCGCUAUCGACGCUGAGGAGCGAAAGCUAGGGGAGCAAACAGGAUUAGAUACCCUGGUAGUCCUAGCUGUAAACGAUGGAUACUAGACGUAGGAACUGGAUUGACGGUUUCUGUGUCGCAGCUAACGCGUUAAGUAUCCC